GACGAACGCUGGCGGCGUGCUUAACACAUGCAAGUCGAACGGAAAGGCUCCAGCUUGCUGGAGUACUCGAGUGGCGAACGGGUGAGUAACACGUGGGUAAUCUGCCCUGCACUCUGGGAUAAGCCUGGGAAACUGGGUCUAAUACCGGAUAUGACUCUUCUCCUCUGGGGUUUGGUGGAAAGUCUUGCGGUGUAGGAUGAGCCCGCGGCCUAUCAGCUUGGUGGUGGGGUGAUGGCCUACCAAGGCGACGACGGGUAGCCGGCCUGAGAGGGUGAUCGGCCACAUUGGGACUGAGAUACGGCCCAGACUCCUACGGGAGGCAGCAGUGGGGAAUAUUGCACAAUGGGCGGAAGCCUGAUGCAGCGACGCCGCGUGAGGGAUGACGGCCUUCGGGUUGUAAACCUCUUUCAGCAGGGACGAAGCGUAAGUGACGGUACCUGCAGAAGAAGCACCGGCUAACUACGUGCCAGCCGCCGCCGUAA
This 482-nucleotide ribosomal RNA is filed under the name uncultured bacterium. Its description in RNAcentral is "partial 16S ribosomal RNA". It matches the Rfam family "Bacterial small subunit ribosomal RNA", at positions 28 to 523 of the family's 1533-position model. The record is from RNAcentral.